GAUGAACGCUGGCGGCGUGCCUAAUACAUGCAAGUCGAACGAGGUGCCUUUGUAGCAAUACGAAGGUAUCCUAGUGGCGAACGGGUGAGUAACGCGUUGGUGACCUACCCCAAAGUGUGGGAUAACAGAUCGAAAGAUCUGCUAAUACCGCAUGUGGUCUUCGGAUUUAGAAACUGAUGACUAAAGGAGCAAUUCGCUUUGGGAGGGACCUGCGUCCCAUCAGCUAGUUGGUGAGGUAAUGGCUCACCAAGGCUACGACGGGUAGGGGACCUGAGAGGGUGGCCCCCCACAAUGGAACUGAAACACGGUCCAUACACCUACGGGUGGCAGCAGUAGGGAAUAUUGCACAAUGGGCGAAAGCCUGACGCAGCAACGCCGCGUGAGGGAUGAAGUACGUCGAGAUGUAAAACCUCUUUCAGCAGGGGACGAAGCGAAAAGUGACGGUACCUGCAGAAGAAGCGCCGGCUAAACUACGUGCCAGCAGCCGCGGUAAAU
Molecule: ribosomal RNA, 495 nt
Filed under: uncultured bacterium
Lineage: Bacteria
Description: bacterial SSU rRNA
Rfam family: Bacterial small subunit ribosomal RNA
Source: RNAcentral